UGUGACCAAUCAGGAUUCUAAUGAAAUACUAUGAUUUGUUUAACUUGAGUCAUGUGCUCUCCAUGUUGGCAGAGAGGCUAUAGUUGAUCUGAGAAUCAGGGGGAAGGGUGCCGAAAAACAGAUAGACACCUCCAAAUGAGAGCAGGACUAUUUUCUCAGUGGACUAAGUCAAUGGUCAUUAGUCCUGUUCACUGAAUAUCUCUAACUGAACUUUCCUUCCAGAGACAGAGUAGGAUGACACCUUUCUAUCUCCUUAGAAUUAAGUGUGACCAGGUGACUUGCUUUUGCCAAGAAAAUAAGAGUAGAAAUGAUCCGUGUUGCUUCUAGGUGGAAGCUUUAUAAGCAGUAAUAUGCCAUCCUCACUUUCCUUUUGAUAUAGCGAUUGGCAGUGUUGUAGAUAGUGGCUGUUUCAGCAGCCUCAGCCCUAGAAUGAGAUGAAUGGAGCAGAGCUUCCUACCAGUCCAUAAUGAGCAUGUACUGUGUGCAAUAAACAAGCCUUUGUGUUUAAAGCCACUCCAAUUUGUGGGUUGUGUAUUACAGCAGUGUAACCUGAACUAUCCUGACUGAAUCUAUGAGAAAAGUACUCAGAGCAGUGAUUCUUCUGAGCUUUGUACCAGGGGCAGCUGCCCAUCAAAACAACGCUGGACACUAGCCUCAAACAACCAAAAAUGUCAAUAGAGGACAGUGAAAGAAACUGGAUGUUACGAAUGUCCUUGGCAUCAACUGCUGCCACCCUUCCUCCUCUCCCUCAUACCAGUCAACGUGUUUGCCCAGCUGGAAAAUGACGGAUGUAAUAAAAGCUACCAUUUAUUGAUCAUGUGCCACAUGAGACACAAUGCACAAAGCAUCUUCUGGCAUAUGACCUUUACAACAAGUGUUGUAAUAAACCCAUAUUUUGGAUGUGAAAACCAAGGCUCACCGCAGCAAUCUAACAUCCCAAAGUCACAGAGCUGGUGGAGCUGGAAUUCACCCUCUAGAUUGUCUGACUUCAGAUUCUGAAGAUAUGCAUUACAAUCCCCAUUUCAUGGAGAAGAAAGUAGAAGAGUGGUCAAUUUGAGGGAUUCUUCUAUGCUGGAAUAAACUGUGCCUCAAAGAACCCAUAAUCUUUCAAUUGCAUUGCAUUUCCUAGAAAUGUCCACCCAAUUUUUGUAAAGAAUCCUGAAUACAGCUUGAAGUUGUCAGCCUUGGGCACCUAUAACUGUUUUUUUUUAAAACCAUUCACUGGGAGAUAUAACAAAGAAGUGGCAGAGCCCCCAGGGACAGAAUCUUCUAUCUUAGGGCACAACACCAGAUGUUGGAUGGGUCAAGAAGGACCAGGUGGUGACUUGAGAAAAGCCAGUGCCGCCAUUCGCUUUGAUCCCAUAGGAGUUCACUUGUUGGAAAGUGGAUGUGGAAUUUGGAAGCCAGGCUCAGAAAGACCCAAGUGCAGAAUCUGGUUCCAGUAAGUCAAAUAUUUUAAUUAAUCAUCACAUUUUCCAGCACGCUCUGAAAGCAAAGAAAGAGAUACACUUUAUCUAUUCCUUAGAAUGAGAGGAGGUUCUAUGGAGGUGGUGGAGUUAAGAGUUGGUACUAUUCAUCUUCAAAGGGACUUGCUAACAUAACAAACACUUCUUUCUCAACUUCUGAAUCCAUGAAGCCCCAAGUGGAAAUACGUUCUAUCUGUUGGAAAAGCAUUCCAGUCUAUGGAAUCAGUCUCUUGAUAAGGUGGUAAUUACUGGAGCAAUUUUAGCAGGUACAAAGGCAUUUUUAAUAGUUUUAAUUAUUCAAAGCCCUGACUAAUUAUCCAGUCUGUAGAUCAGAGGCCAAGGGGGGAUAAAAUUGUAUGAAAGUGGUUACCAUGACAGGAUGAAGGGAAGAUUCAGCCACCUUCAAACAGAAAGCUGCUCUCUGUGACUUUGCAGUUACAUGCUCGUGCCCUGCAGUGCUCAGAGAGAAUGGACCACUGGCCUGGGCACUUAGAGUCCUGGGUUCCAGGCCUGGCUCCACCGCCGAUCUGCUACAUCCUUGCCAGAUUCGCUUUCCCUUAUCAGGACUCUAAAAUUAGCGGAUUGCAGCGGGGAGGUAUAGGGAACACAAUAGAUGGUCUCUGGACCUCCGUCAAGUGCUGACAUUCUAUAGUUCCACAGGGCUUUUUUCAAAGUAUAGAUUCUAUUGAAAUUUUUUUCUGUGGACAAUGAAAAUCCAGGAAAAGUUUAUAAGCACAUAAAGGCUUUGAUCAUAUUUUGAGUUAGGAAGACAGCCACCGUGUAGGGCAGAUCAACAUAGGGAGAGGCUGGAAAAAAGUGACACAAGCCAUGUCUGACAGAUGAAUAUGUUUUUACCUGAAUGUCUGCUUUUGGGUGGAACAAAAGCGACCUCCAUUUAUGGAGCCUUUCACCUCCACCCGUGGCCCCAUGUGAGGUACUGUGGAGACACAGGCUCUGCCUUCAAGGAGUUUGCUAGACUUUUUGCUAGACGUUUACUGCUAGAGUAAGGAUGCCUUGUUCCAAUGGUGGCCGACUGAUGGGUCUAUCUGGAGGAUGAUGUCAGAAUAUUUUGGAAGCAGAGACAUUGUCCAUUUUCACUGACAUGGCAAGUCAUGCCUGGAGCCUCUCUGUAUGAACCUUCUCUGCAGAUGCAGUGAUGAGACCACCUCGCAAAGCACACCUAGGCCCUGUGUGGGCUUGAUGGCUUCCAUCAUGGAGUAAUCACCUGACCUCCAACGUCACUCCUGACAUUCACACCUAGCUUUUAUCCAGGCUCAAGUCGUAGAGAUUCCAUAUAUGUUUCUCAUAUGAGAAGUGUUCAGCCAAUGUUGGGACAGUCGACAAAGAGCUUUCUAAUUUGUUCUCUUGGUGCUUCCAGCACCCCACAGUGAGUUCCUUCUGGGCUGUCUCCUAGAGCUCAGCACAGAGGUUAAGAGGAAGACCAUCUGGUUCAAAUCACCACUUUGCCACUCCCUGGCUGUGUGACCUUGGGCAAGUUACACAGCCUUUUUGUGCCUCAGUUUUCCUACAUGUAAAAAAUUUACUGCUAUAAAGAUUAAAGUGAAGUGCCUUACAAUGGACUGAUGAAUGUUUGUGGCCCCCCAAAAUUCAUGUUGAAAUCCUAAUCCAAUUACAAUGCUAUCUGGCAGUGGGGUUUGGGGAAGGUAAUUCAGCCAUGAGGGUAGAGUCCUCUCGAAUGGGAUUAGUGCCCUCAUGAGAAGAGAUCAAAAAGCUAUUGAGCUCUCUUUCCACCAUGUAAAGAUGUGAGAAGUUAGCAAUCUGCAUCCAAGAAGAAGACCCUCACCAGCACCUAACCAUGCCAGGACACUCAUUUUCCAGCCUACAUAAAUGUGACAAAUAAAUUUCUGUUAUUUCUAAGGCAUUCAGUCUCUGGUGCUUUGUUAUAGCGGCCUGAAUAACUAAGACAUGCCUGUACGUAGUCCACAUACUGUAAAUGAGAGGUAAGUAAAUAACGUGUACCUUUGUGCAGUUUUCUUCAAUUCUGUAAGAUUCGGUUACCCCGUUUCUAAAAUGGGACAGUAAUCCUUAUGCAUUUAUUUAACAAACGUUAUUUACUUAACAAAUAUUUACUGUGCUCCUAUUAAGUGCCAGUCACUGCCGUAGGAGUUGGAGAUACCACAGUAAAUAAAACGAGGUCUUUGUCCUUAAAGAGUUUGCUUUAUUGGCCAGGCAUGGUGGCUCAUGCCUUUAAUCCCAGCACUUUGGGAGGCUGAGGUAGGUGGAUCAUGAGAUCAAGAGUUUGAGACCAGCCUGACCAACCUAGUGAAACCCCGUCUCUACUAAAAAUACAACAGUUAGCCAGGUGUAGUGGCAGGCACCUGUAGUCCCCGCUACCCAGGAGGCUGAGGCAAAAGAAUUGCUUAAACCUGGGAGGCAGAGGCUGCAGUGAGCUGAGAUCCCACCACUGCACUCCAACCUGGAUGAUAGAGUGAGACUCCAUCUCAGAAAAAAAAAAAAAAGAGUUUGCUUUAUUGUAGGUGCAGGGAACAGGCAGGACAAUCAAAUAUGUGAUUUAAAAAAAAUAGAAAGCAGAUGAAUAUGGUACUGCGUUUUUUGUUUGUUUUGUUUUUUUGAAACAGAGUCUCGCUCUGUAGCCAGGCGCCAGGCUGGAGUGCAGUGGUGCAAUCUUGGCUCACUGCAACCUCCGCUUCCCGGGUUCAAGCAAUUCUCCUGCCUCAGCCUCCCGAGUAGCUGGAACUACAGGCAUGCACCACCAUGCCCAGCUAAUUUUUGCAUUUUUUUAGUAGAGACGGGGUUUCACCAUGUUGGCCAGGAUGGUCUCCAUCUCUUAACCACGUGAUCCACCCACCUCGGCCUCCCAAAGUGCUGGGAUUACAGGCGUGAGUGGUAGUGUGUGUUUUUUAAGAUAUAGUGGUCAGGGAAGGCUUUUCUGAGGGGACGGCACUUGAGCAGUGAUAUGAAUCAUCUGAGCAAGUGAUCUGGAGGUAAAAAGUGGAUUCCAGUCAUAGCGAAUGGCUGGUGAAAAAGGCCUGAGGCAGGACCAUGUGCGACAUGUGCAAGAAACAGCUGAGGAAACUGUGGCCAGAGUACAGCAGGAGAGAAAGUGGUAGGUGAGAUCCCAGGGGGAGACUCGGGACCUAGAGCACACAGAGUCUCCUAGGCCAGGUCAGGACAUAGAGAAUGUCCUAACGUGGAUACUCUCAUUGGAAACCCGCAAUGGGAUUUGAGAGAAGAAUAAGGGCUUAUUACACAGUGCGUGGCAGAAUGUGAGACUGUGGUACACCACGGAGAGACAUAGAUGUUUAAGAAGUUAGGGGAGAGGGAUCAUUUCAGACCCCAGAGAGCUUAAAGGCAGCAGCAGCAUUUGAGCUGAGUAUAUGUUCAAUGGGAGGAAGCCAAUUUUCAAAUGAAGGAAAAGUGGUGAGCAUGAUGCUUAGGGGGUUUGUUUGAUUCAUUCAUUCAUUCACUUACCAUUGGCCCUUCUCUGUGCUGCAUCCCUUAAGUGCUAGGGAUACAGUGGUAUGUCCAUAUCAUUCAGCCUGGCACCUGUCUUCAAUGAGUUCACAGUGCAGGUUGGGUGGAGAGAAUAGCUUAGACUGGUGUUAAUUCUUGUUAAGCCCCUAAGAUUCCAGGCUUGUGACUGCCGCAUAGCAUAGGUUGUGAUCUCCAAUAUUGAGUGAGGUGCUGGUCAUGUGUCAGCUUUCCUAACAGGCAGAUGUUUGUCACAAAGGCCAUGGCAUGAUGAUAUUCCCUCUGACACAGUUCCACCAGUAAACCCUCUUUACAUUUAUACAAUCAUCCUCAAGGAAACCCGUAGUGCAUUUGGCCACCAGGAUGGUACCAAGGUCCUAAUGGCAGUGCAUCUCAAAGAAAAAAGUGAAAACCAAAACUAAACUCCAUCCUGAGAUAGUAAGUCAUCCCAAAGAAAAGCCAUCCAGCCUCAGUUUUAAUCAAGCUCUUGGAGGAGUGCUUGCUUUGUGCCAGGGACUCUUCUAAGGGUUUCACAAUAAUUAACUCAUUUCAUGUUCACAACAGGCUGUAGCCCUGCACACACACUUCAUCCUCACUACUUCAGCACACACUGCCUGACGGCCAGCUGUCAGCUCAUGCAUUGCUUUGCCUGAGACCUUUCUCUUCCUGACAGAGCCCACGUGGCAGGCUGAAUGGCAGCCAAAAGUGUCAGGGAAUUCACACCCCCACCAGGCGUAUGCACUCAGAUGGCACAUGGACAUUCAUGCCCUUGCAUAUGAAAGCAGUCCUCAAUUAAGGCUGGCUUGGAAUUGGUGUAUAAAUACCCCGCCUCCUUCACCCUUGGAGUGCAUGUUUUACCCUGAGUUGUGUUUUACAGUCUCCAGCACUCCCCAGGGGGAUUAUGCUCAAGUCACCUGCAGUGGUAACUUGCUCCUUCCUGUCUUCCUUUACUACUCAUCUAUCUUCACCUCCCAAUCAACCACUUGCUCUUAAAUCUAUGUCUGGGAUGUUCCCCUGAGGGAACCAGCUUAAGACACAACCCUGUCUUUGAGGGAAGAAGGUACCACAAUAGUCAUCCUUGUUUUGUAGCCAAGAAAAGUAAAUCAGAGUUUUUCAAACUUAUUUAGAGAGAUGCUGAAUAAUUUUCCCAAGGUCACAGAGCUUCACACCCAGCCACCAGGCUCCAAGAUCCAGGCUUCACACCCAACAACCAGGCUCCAAGAUCCACGCUAUUAACCCCGACACACUACUGCAAAAGCAACCCAAACCACUGAGCACCUGCCUCCUUUCAUUGGCUUUGUGAGAUACCCAGGCUGCUGAGCUACAUAGAUGAAUACAUGUUUUUCCAGAUUCAUCUAUAACCUUCUCUUUGGAGAUUCCAGCGUGUAAUUCAGAAGUGUGUUUGAGAAGGUAUUUGAUGUGAUUUUCAAUGCAGUGGCAGCCACAAGGUGAUUCAUCAGCCGGCUCUCUUUGACAGUGAAUUGAUCUCCCAGGUCAGGAAGCAAACCUCAAUUUACGUGGGAUGCACUUGGAAUGCGCCCUCAGAGUAGCACAUGGGAGAUAAAGCACAGUCAAUGACAGUUCUUGUCAAUGAGUUUGUUAUGGCAAGAGGGGAGAUGUGAGGCUUUCCGGUCCGAGUGCGACUGCUGACACUCCAGGUGCAUGCUUUUUUUCUUUUUUGGUAUGAUAAACACUUUGCCUGAGUCUGUUAGCCCUGCCUGUCAAUUCUUUGACAUUUCCAAGUCCUCUUGUGAUCCAAGUAUCCUCAUCCAACAGCACAAAAGCAAAGUGAGUGCUUACUUGGUUAUCAGGCCAUCAACCAUUCUUUUUUCUUUCAAACUAGAUCUCUCUGAUUUUUCAAUUUUGUUUCAUGUCUGGAUGAGUGAUUUCAGAACCAUGAGGUUGGUGAAGUCUGAGCUUCCCCACUCAGAAUUUCUUGCCUUUGUACCAAAAAAAAAAAAAAAUACCAUUGUAGCAAAUUGUCCGUGUGAUUCAUUUGUCACAGUCACUGAUGAAAAAAUUCUUUUCUUGAAGGUCUUUCCAAGAUCCUGGACCAUGAUAAUAGGAAACAACCCCAGAAAGUGAGAAAAGCCAGACACAAAAACUUAAUAUUAGAUUUAUUUUUGCCAUUAGAAAAUCUUAUUCUUUUUGCUUUUGGGGUGAAAUUUGAGCUAUAGAGGUUGAGAAAUUGAGAAACAGAAGAUCUGAUCAAGACUGCCUCUGCUAGCAUAAAGAUUAAUCUUUUCAAAACACAAUUUUAUUUUUCUUAUGUCUAGGUUUUCUGUUCUUUAGUCAUACCUUAAAGAAAUUAAAAAUCAUAAGGCUGGUUUCUUCCUGCUUCCCAUACAAGCUGAUCGUGCUCAACCAAGAGCUAGAACUAAGUUUACGAGAAAGAAAGGAGGGGAGGAAGGAAGAAAAGGGUGAAAUGGGAGGGAGGGAGAGAAGGAAGAAAGGAAAGGAGGGAGGAAAGAAGAGAAAUAGUAUGUGGAGAACAUUCUUUCCAUUUCAAAACUGUAAUCACCUCAUUGACCAUCUAAAAUGAAAAUUCGAUGGACAGUCAUUCAAUGCCUUACUUAAUUCAUCUGUGUAAAUUCAACCCUAAUGCCUCAGUUUUAGAGCAGGCCCAUUUUAUCCUUUUCAUCACCUCAGCCACAGAGUAGCAGUGACUUCAGUCCAGAAACAGAGCUUCUUAGUGUAAUUCAUUCAAUACAUCUACCUUGAGGCACUUCUACACCAAGACACUUGCUGGAUUCUGAAGGGCUAGGAAGAUGAAUCCGAUACAAUGUCAGUCAAGAGAGGCUAGGUUAGGCCGCAUGACAACCCCAAAUCUUGGUGACUGGAAGCAACAAAAAUGUAUUUCUUGUCUAUGCCACAUAUUUGUUGUGGAAACACAGAGGCCUUCAAUCUACAGCGCCCUCACUCAGGGACCAAGGCUGAGGGAGGCUCCAUCUCUUUCUUUCCAUGAUUGAUAAAACAGGAAAAGGGGAUGUGGAGAAUCCCACACUGGCUCUUUCAUGACCCCAUCUGGAAGUGGCACCUAAGUAACUUAGGUGCAAGUUACUCUGCUCACCUUUGAUUUGUCAAAAUAAGUCAUACAGUUAUGGCUUACUUCCAGGAGAUAGGACAGCAUAAUCCUAUGUGCCCACAAGAGGAGACAACUAAACAAUCUGGUGACCAGCUCGCAAUGGUUUGAAUGUCUGUCUCCUCUGAAACUCAUGUUGAAACUUAAUCUCCAUUGAAUAGUAUUAAGAGGGUGGGAAAUCCAACUGUAGAUUUGAGAGAUGUGACCUUUGGGAAGUAAUUAGGAUUAAGAUGAAGUGGUGAGUGUGGGGCGUUAGUCACUUUAUGAAAGAAAGGCCUGAGCUAGCACUCAGCCCCCUCACCAUGUGAUGUCCUGUGCCAUCUGGGGACUCUGCAGAAAGUCCCACCAGCAUGAAGAUCUGCAACAGAUGUGCCCAGCCCCCAGAACUACAAGAAAUAAAUGCCUUUGCUUUGGAAAUUACCCAUUUUUCUGGUAUUCUGUUAUGGCAACAGAAAACAGACUAAGACACUAACUAAACCCACCACACAUCCAGUUCUUGAUACGGAGGAGCUCAUUGUCUUUUAAAUAGCAAAGCCAAAAAUCUUUUUAGCGGUUCCCUAGGAGAGGAGCACACUAAAUGUCACAAGGUCAAAGGCAGAACUCACCCAGGUAGAAGGGCCUCAGAAAAUAAGCUGGAUUUUUACAAGAAAAGAUGAGAAAUCAGGCUUUUUUUAAUUGCAUUUUAGGUUUUGGGGGACAUGUGAAGAAUAUGCAAGAUAGUUGCAUAGGUACACACGUGGCAGUGUGAUUUGCUGCCUUCCUCCCCUUCCCCUAUAUCUGGCAUUUCUCCCCACGCUCUCUCUUCCCAACUCCCCACCCCCGCUGUCCCUCCCUAUUCACCCCAACAGACCCCAGUGUGUAGUGCUCCCCUCCCUGUGUCCAUGUGUUCUCAUUGUUCAACACCCACCUAUGAGUGAGAACAUGUGGUAUUUCAUUUUCUGUUCUUGUGUCAGUUUGCUGAGAAUGAUGUUCUCCAGGUUCAUCCACGUCCCUACAAAGGACACGAACUCAUCGUUUUUGAUUGCUGCAUAAUAUUCCAUGGUGUAUAUGUGCCAUAUUUUCCCUGUCCAGUCUAUCAUCGAUGGGCAUUUGGGUUGAUUCCAGGUCUUUGCUAUUGUAAACAGUGCUGCAAUGAACAUUCGUGUGCAUGUGUCCUUAUAGUAGAACGAUUUAUAAUCCUUUGGAUAUAUACCCGGUAAUGGGAUUGCUGGGUCAAAUGGAAUUUCUAUUUCUAAGGCCUUGAGGAAUCGCCACACUGUCUUCCACAAUGGUUGAACUAAUUUACACUCCCACCAACAGUGUAAAAGUGUUCCUAUUUCACCACAUCCUCUCCAGCAUCUGUUGUCUCCAGAUUUUUUAAUGAUCGCCAUUCUAACUGGCGUGAGAUGGUAUCUGAAUGUAGUUUUGAUCUGCAUGAGAAAUCAGGCUUUUUAGGUGCAAAGAAGAGCAAGGCAAAGAAGAGAAGUCAAGACACGUGAAUGAUGCUGCAUAAGAACGAGUAGUGUGUUUUGUGCUGCAGGGGAGAAACAUCUAAGGACCUGAUUUUCCCUUUUCUCCUCCAUGUGAAGGUUGGAAGAAGAGACAGGAAAGAACGCCAAUCAAAACCGGGGAGCCAAUAUCCAUCUAAAAGCAUUCAAGCUUCAUUGUCUUCAACCUAUUUGGGGCCAGCGUAUCUGCCAAUUGGCACAGACUCGUUUCCUCACUCCAUAAAGCAAGUGAGAAAAGAGAAAGCCAGUUCGUAAUAACCCUCUACAAAGUCGAAGCAUAAUCUGAUCUCGGGUUUCUAAAGAAUCUGGUUCCUUUCACCUGAAAAUGCCUGGGUAAAGCUGCUGUUAAUACACCACGUUCUAGUAAAGCAGAGAGGCGUGCAUUUUUUAAUACCACCACCAUUAAGGAAAAAGCUGUUUUUGUUUUAGUCCAAUGGUUAGCACACUGCCCUUAGGCCUAGGGGCUCUGCAGAGAUGUCUCAGGUGGAUAAGGGAGGCGGAAAGGAGAGGUUUUUCCGUUCUCAGUCACUGUCUUAGUUUGGGUUUCCCUAGAAGCUGACCAAGAGACAAGGAUUUAAGUGCAAGUUUUAUAUUUGGAAGGUGAUUCUAGGGUCACCGCUUAGGGAGUGAAGAAGUGAGAAAGGGAAGGAAAGGCAGCCAACAAGGGGUGUGUUAUCAAUGCAAUUAUCACUGCGGACAGGUAGACAGAGCCUGUGCCUCUUAGGGAACUGUGUGAGCCAGUCUGGAGGACAUGCAUCAGCAGCAUCCCACCUGAGGCAUGCAGGAGCUGGGGUGUAAAUACCACGGCUCCCAUCCAUUAUUGGUUCAGAGCUGCUUAUGAGGGACGUUAAUUCUCUGGUACUUCCAACGUGCCAGGAAGUGGCAAAACAAACUCUGGCAGCCAGAAAAAGCCCUUGGCGAGGGAGCGAGUGACAGGGAGCAUGUGCUGGCAGUCGGAAUUUAAUGGAAGGAGCCAAAAUUUUGCAGAACAAGAGAAUAUGCAAGAGACACCAAUAGCAUGGGAUACAGCCCCCUAUUCUUAGUCGUCUGAGAAGAGAGGCUUAAAUCUUCUGCUUUACAUAUCUGGGUGGCACUAGAGAGAUCUAAGGAAAAAGAGGUUUUAAAACCUCUGGUCUGAAACAAUGCACUUACUUUACGAAUAAAGACAUAGAGACCCCAAAAAGGAAGUAUGUAGCAACGUGAGGACCAGAGCUGAGGUCCUUGAGCGUCACACCAGGGCUUUUCCCACGCUGCAUGCAUUUUAGCCCAAGCCCAUUUUUGCUGCUAUUUCAUUUUCUCCAACUCCUUUUCUUCACAUUAUCCCCGUUCUCCACGUGUGCCCCGGUGACCUCAGCCGACUGUUUCCCAGCAUCGACCACUCAAGCUUCCCACCAGUCACAUAGAAUACCAUUCUCUUUCCAUCUUUAUCCAGCUCCUUUGACAAAAACCUUUUAUUACAUUUGCAAACAGUGACCAAAAAGUAUGAAAACCAGAGGAUUGAUGCUGGCACAACCACUUUGGAAUUAAAUGUAAAUACUCCACUUCACUUGGGCGACAUGCUGGGCCGAUAAAACAGCUUCUGCAAACUCAGUAUCAAGGAGUCUGUUUCCAGUACAGCUGCCUGUUGUCUUUCACGUUUGAAGAUUGUUCAAAAGGCUUUGGGCUGCUUUAUACACGAACAUGUGGAUGUCUUAAUUUAUAAAAACUGCUGUGCAUCCUAUUAAGCUCUGCAUCCUCAGUACCCGACACUCUUUCUAGACCACAGUAAGUGCUCAAUAAAUGUUCGCUAAAUGAAUGAAGAAAAAGAAUGAUAGCCCCUCACUCUUGUAUCCCCCUCAAACUGAAAUCCAAAGGCCAGCCAGCUGCAGGGAUUUUCAUGUGCAGGCUGAGCUUCAGUAACAUUCCGUCAAAAAUGGAUCAUGACCUCUUUGCCAGAUUUUUCUUGAACUAUACAGACAAAAAAAAUUAACAUCAUUCCAUUCAUUAAAUAAAUAUUCAGUGCUAACUAUGGGUUGGGCACUGGGAUAUGAUGGUGAAAGGAGAAAUAAAGGAGAGGCUCUUCCUCUUUGAAGAGUGCAGCCCAGACAGACACAAAUCAAGUAAUCAUACCAGUUCAGUGACACCAGCCAUGGUAAAUGACGGUGGUGUUUUUACAGAUAGGUCCACAAAGACUUUGAUGUUCCUCCCCUUGAGAGGUGGAGCUCAAUUCCCUUUUCCUGGAGUAUCGGUUGGACUCAGUACCUUACUGUAGGGAAUAGAAGGGGUGGGAUGUCAUUUCCAAGAUUAGGCUAUAAAAAGACUGUUGCCCCAUCUUGGGUGGAUUCAUUCUUUGUCUUUCUGUCUCUCUUCUCAUCAUUUGCUCUCGGGGAAGUACCAGUUGCUAUGUUACGAGGAUACUCAGGCAUGUGAGGGGUAAGGGAGAACCCCCCUUUAGGGAGGAACAGAGAACUUGUAGCAACGAUGUCACUAUCUUGGAAGCAGAGCCUCUAUCCCCAGUGGAGCCUCUCCAGAUGACUAGAUCCCUGGCCAACAACCUGACUGCAACCUCAGGAGUAACUCUUGAGUCAAAACCACCCAGUUAAUCCAUUCCCAAAUGCCUAACUCACAGAAACUUGGAGGUAAUAAAUAUUUGUGGCUUAUAAUAUGCUUGGGGUAAUUUAUUAAAGCAAUAGGUAAUUAACAUGAAGGAGAAGUCCUAGAUAAUGUGACUGCUUCCAUCUGAUCUGAGAAGUCAAAAAGAGCUUCCCCAAGAAAGUGGUGAGUAAUGGAGGAGCAAGAAGGCUGAGAAGAGUAAUCAAAAGAAAAGAAGUGACAUGUGCAAGGGUCCUGGGGCAGGAAGGAGCACACUGAGUUGGAAAGACUAAAGGAAACCAGCGUGGCCACUGGUGCAUGAGAUCAAAUGGGAAAGUGAUUUGGAAUGAAGCCAGCAGGAGGGGGACCUAUCCAUGGAGGGCCUCAAGACAUUGUCCAGAACUUUGAUCUUUAUCAAGAGAGCAAUGACAAGUCUUUAAAGGGUUUUAAACAGGUAGGUGACUUGAUCAGACUUGGAUUUCCUUCAUGUUCUUUCAACUACCAUCUCCUACCACAGCAAUCAGCUGACAGCUUCCUCUCUCUGGGCAUGUUUGGAUUUCCACACAGAAUUUUUGCAAAUAAUGAACAUCACAUAGGCAAAAAACAAAAAAACAAAAACCUGCUUAUAAUUUGCAGUGCUAACUUCAUGCUAACCCUAUUUUACCCCAGUGGCUGCCAGUCACCUGCUAUCAGCUGGAAGAGGGUGAGAUAGACAAGGUUUGGUAAACAUAGGGUGAAGGGGCUCCCUUCAAGGUAAAUCCCAAAAUCAUGUGUCAAUGUUGGCGCAUAGGAGCAUCUGUGCUGUUUUUAAAGGACAGAGUCCAGUUUUUAUCACAUUCUGAAAGGGAUCUGGGUUUCCUAGAAGCAGAAGCUGAAGCCAGGAUUCAGGGUCAUGGGAGUUACUGAGGAAGGACUCACAGGGGAAACUUUCUAGGAAAAUUCAGAUAAAAGAACCCAGCAAGGGUGUGAUCUUGGGUAAUAUGUAACCCUGGCAUGAUCCCCAGGAGGACACCAGAGAAUUAUACACAGAGUUACCUCAUCCAAUGGCAUGAGGCCAGCCUCUUACACCCCUACAUCCCCCAGUUACUGGCUGUGAGUUGCUCCCAUCAAUCAAGGACAUUUCUCUGGAGACAACGUAGGUUUUCCAGAUAAAAUUAAGUAUUUUUAUUUGCUAAAUAGAGCAACCCUAAGAAAAGGGCAACUACGAAUCAUUAACAGCCAACACUCACAGCAGCUCAGGGAUGGCUCAGCAAAGGGGAUCUUGGCAGGACACAAAAAUAGUGUUAACCAAAAUCUGUGACCCUGAAAAGGUUCAACACCCUCCAUCUAUAGGACGGAAAUGGUUGGCUAGUCAGUAAUGUCCUGGGAAACCAUGAUAAAUUCCUCACACUUAGAAACUGCAACGGGGCCCCCAGGAAACCAGGACAGAGUCCAGUUGUGUUUGCACAUCUGACUCAAGUUUCCCAGGGAAUCCAACCCAAAUCCAGAACUGAAAGCUUAUGAGAGUUCAGGAAGAAGCCAACAGGCCAAAACGAACCUAAGCAUCAUUCAACUAAAAGUUGCACAAAGAUUCUACAAAGGAACCCCUGAGAGUUCAGACAACCAGGUCUCCUGCGUUAUUUUCAGUGCGGGGUCGUACAGUGGAAGUUAAAGUAAAGAUUCUGGAUCUGUACUAUCCAUCUCAAAUCCCAGUGCCCCUACUUUACCAACUGUGUGACUCUAGGCAAACUGCAUGACCUCUCUGGGACCCACUUUCUUCUCUGUCAAAUGGAGAACAUAGUAAUAGUCUAUCUGUUACCAGUAUAGGAUCAACUGAAUGGAUUUCUAUAAACCCUUUAAAACUGUGCCUGCCUCAGAGUAGGCAUCAAUAAAUGUUUAUUAUUAAUAUGAUUAUAUAGCUAUCAAAAAUGAUAUUUUAGUUAUUAAAGUUAUCUGAAACUUCCCAGAUUAGUUC
Non-coding RNA from Callithrix jacchus (white-tufted-ear marmoset), 14013 nucleotides. Lineage: Eukaryota; Metazoa; Chordata; Mammalia; Primates; Cebidae. The record is from RefSeq and is a predicted model, not a curated record.